Molecule: ribosomal RNA, 433 nt
Filed under: uncultured bacterium
Lineage: Bacteria
Description: partial 16S ribosomal RNA
Rfam family: Bacterial small subunit ribosomal RNA (bases 91-433)
Source: RNAcentral
GGGGGGGGGGGGGGGGGGGCGGGAGGGGGGGGGGGGGGGCGAGGCCGUCGGGUGGAGGUGGGGAGGGGUGGGUGACGCGUGGGAAGCUGGCGGUGGGGGCCGGCUACCUGCCCGGAAGGGAUGCUAGUAGCUGGGGCUGGCCUCGGGCCAAAGAUGUGUCGACGCUGGAUGGCGACGGGUUGGCUUAGCUAGUGUGGAGGGUACAAGCCUAACCAGGCGACGAUCCAUAGCUGGUCUGAGAGGAUGAUCAGCCACACUGGGACUGAGACACGGCCCAGACUCCUACGGGAGGGAGCAGUAGGGAAUAUUGGAGGAUGGGCGAAAGCCUGAUCCAGCAAUGCCGCGUGAGUGAUGACGGCCUUAGGGUUGCAAAGCUCUUUUACCCGGGCUGAUAAUGACAGUACCGGGAGAAGAAGCUCCGGCUAACUCCGUG